GUACUGCGGAGGACAUUA
RNAcentral lists this ribosomal RNA (18 nucleotides) under Aspergillus chevalieri. RNAcentral describes it as "partial 18S ribosomal RNA". Lineage: Eukaryota; Fungi; Ascomycota; Eurotiomycetes; Eurotiales; Aspergillaceae. The record is from RNAcentral.